Long non-coding RNA from Esox lucius (northern pike), 1047 nucleotides. Lineage: Eukaryota; Metazoa; Chordata; Actinopteri; Esociformes; Esocidae. The record is from Ensembl.
CUUAUAUUGUGAACAAUGUAUUUUUUCCUGUAUAUACCAACUAUUAUAUAACUGCUUCAUUUUGUCAUUCUCCAAUAUUUUAUUUUGUGCAUGUGUCUGACUGGAGUACUUGGUUCCCAGGCAUAAUGAGGAGAGACAACAACACUGUGAUGAACAGGUAAACUGUCCAAAGGGUGGAGUCAUGUUACACUACAGAAACCAGAGACAUGGCAUUCUCUGUCAGACAAGGCUACGUCCUUAUAUCAGUGGUGUGAAUGUGUUGAGUCACAGUGCAAAGUAGAGUGCUGGUUCAAAUGGACCCUUUUCAUGUCCUCAUCUCAAACCGUACAGAAACACCUUCUGUGUGACUGAACCUCCACACAACCUACUGCUGAACACCAAGGUUCCAGUGGAUCUGAAGGGUUUCAGCUAGAGAAGUCGAAUCCUCCAACCAUCUAUUUCUGGAACAUCUGUUUCCAAAAAUUGCAGUUAUUUUGCAACUCUACUACCUUCCCUGAACAAGCACUUCAUCUGAAUUCAACAUCCCCAGUUUAUUACAGCAUCCUCUACCACAAUAAACUGUCUGUUAAUGUGUCCAUCUAUCCUGUAAAUGUUGGGCUGUUGGUAAAAGGAUAUGAUUGUACAAUAAGCUUCUUAAGUAUGUUUGUAUAUGGAAAUUAGCUUUAAAAAUGCAUUUAUUUAUUUUCUUUCUGUUGUAUCCUGAGCAUUGUUCUGAAGCGAAUAGGGAGGGGCUGUAGGCAGGGGGAGUGGCUAUUUGUCAAGGGGGAGGAGAAAUGGAUGGGGGUGUAAGACUGACAAGUAUACAUACAUAGAGACAGACACACGGCCACAGAGACAGACAGAGGUUACAUACAUAGAGACAGACACACGGCCACAGAGACAGACAGAGGUUACAUGGUAUUUAGAUACAGGGACUCUUGUCACUAGUGAUGAGAGCUGGUAUUCCUGUAAGAAAACAUUCUUAGAAAUUAGUUAAUGUGAUGUUUCCUGAGCCCUUUCUCCUCAUGUACACUGUGCUUAAAAUGACAAUAAGACAAUAAAACCGGC